UUACCCAAUUCUCCCGCGAAGUAUCCAUCUCCAAUCCGACAGUCUUCCAUCUCCAAUCUGAUCGUCUUCCAGCCCCGUCACCAUCUGCCCCUACUCGUGGCCAUCUGUUCACUCCAGCGUGGCCGUCUAUUUGCUCUGACAUGCCCAUCUGUUCACUCUGAUGCUGCCAUUAACGAACGACGAAACCUCCGCAAUCCCUCUGCAAUCUUCGAACCUUUUCAAUUUGUUCCCAUCUUCUCUGGCGCUGCCAUUAACAAACGACAAAACCCCCGCAAUCUCCAAACCUUUUCAAUUUGUUAUCGUCUUCUCCGGCGCUGCCAUUCGUGUCCAUUAUCUUCGACGCUGCCAUUUGUGCCCGUCAUCACCUCCUCUGUCGGAUUCCUUUUCAUAGGUGAAGUUCGAAGUUGCUGCUUAUGAGAAGUUAGUAUUGGAAAAAUUAGAGAUAGUAUUCUUGUUGCUGCAUCACAUCCACUGAUCAAUCCUAUUCUGUUCAAUCCGACUGUGGCCGUAAUCUCCAAUCCGCCGCAUUCUCUUGACCAUUCAAUUGGCAUCUGUAACCUCCUCUAUCGGUUUAUUUCGAGGCCAACUUAGAUAUCAACACAAUGGACAAGUCAUGGAUGACCCAAAAUAGGAUGUCAAGAGAAUAUGAUUUAGGAGUUGAAAGGUUCAUUAAAUUUGGGUUGAGUCAUGCCAAAGGUUCUAAUUCACUAAGAUGUACAUGUCUGAAUUGCGACAAUCGUUUACUUAAGGAUGUCUCAACAGUUCAGUAUCAUUUGUAUGUCAAUGGAAUUGAUAAAAGUUACAAGAAAUGGUUUUGGCAUGGUGAAGAAUUGAACUCAGAUAACGUUACCAACACGAUAGAAAAUACAGUGGAUGAAACUGAUGAAAACGACGAUUUAUUUAGUACAACUAAUAUGGUUCAAUCCGUUCAAGAACAAUCUUCUAAUGCAUCCAAUACCUUUGACUCUAUGUUCGAUGACGUGAAGAAACCCUUAUACCCAGGAUGUAAGAAAUUCACAAAGUUGUCAGCUCUCGUGAGAUUGUAUAACCUGAAGGUUAGGUAUGGUUGGAGUAACACUAGCUUCUCUGAAUUACUGUCCAUAAUAAGUGAUCUAUUACUUGAUAACAACGAAAUUCCAUCUUUCUUAUACGAAGCGAAGAAAACACUAGGUGCCUUAGGAAUAAGUUACCAAAAAAUUGAUGCAUGUCUUAAUGAUUGUUGUUUGUACAUAAAGGAAUAUGAAAACAUGACCAAGUGCCCUAAGUGUGGUUUGUCAAGGUGGAAAAUCGCUAAGAACUCAAACAAGGAAAAAUGUGGUGUGCCUGCCAAGUAGAUGUGGUACUUUCCAAUAGUUCCAAGAUUUAUAAGAAUGUUCAAGCGAUUCAAAAAUGCUAAGAACUUGCGUUGGCAUGCGAUGAUAGAAAAGUUGAUUGUAUUUUGAGACACCCGGCUAACACUCCAUCAUGGAGGUUGAUUGACCAUAUGUGGCCAACCUUUGGGCUAGAACUGAGAAAUCUCCGUUUGGGUUUUUCUAUUGAUGGAAUUAACCCAUUUGGAGAUAUGUCAACGACGUACAGUUGUUGGCCUAUUAUCACUACAAUAUACAACCUUCGACCAUGGCUGUGUAUGAGAAGAAAAUAUUUGAUGUUGACAAUGUUAAUAUCAGGUCCAAAGCAACCAAGAUACAAUAUCAAUAUGUACUUAGCACCCUUAAUUGAUGACCUACAAAUGUUGUGGAAAGAUGAAGUUCGUUGUUUUGAUGCAUAUAAGGAAUAAUACUUCACACUGCGGGCUGUCUUAUUGUAGACCAUCAACGAUUUUCCAACAUACGGUAAUCUAUGUGGUUUUAAUGUGAAAUGAUAUAAGGCUUGUCCAAUAUGUGGAGAAAGACUACUUCAAUAAGAUUGCAACAUGGAAAAAAAUGUCAUACAUGGGACACAGGAAGUAUUUGCCAAGACAUCAUUCAUACAUAUUACAAAAAGAAAAUUUAAUAGGAAGCAAGAGCAUGAAAUUCCUCCACAACCCUUGUCGGGGGAGGCCAUGUACCUUAAGCUGAAAAACAUGAUAUUUUCAUGUGUGAAGAAGUGUGGAAAGACCGUGCAUAAUGAAGGUGGCAAUGACUAUUGGAAAAGAAGACCAUAAUUUUUUCAACUACCAUAUUGGAUACACUUGCAUGUUCGACACUGUUUAGACGUAAUGCAUAUUGAAAAAAAUGUAUGCAUGAACAUAGUGGGCACCUUGUUUGAUAUACUAGGAAAAAGUAAGGAUGAGAUGAAUACUAGCCUUGACUUGGUUGAAAUGAAAAUUAGACCAAAAUUGGCACCAAUGUUUACUGGUAAUAGAACUUACAUCCCUGCGGCAUGUUAUACACUGUCAAGAAAAGAAAAGUACAAGUUUUGUAAGACUGUCAGAAAUGAAAGUUUCAGAAGGUAAAUCAUCAAAUAUUAGCAGUCGUGUGUCUUUGGAUGACUUAAAACUGAUUGGCCUUAAUUUGCACGAUUGUCAUUUUUAAUGCAGCAACUGCUUCCAAUUGCAAUACGUUCAGUCCUACCGAAGAAUGCGAGAUACACAAUCAGUAGAUUGUGCUUUUUCUUCAACGCGAUUUGCGCCAAAAGUUUAUUCAUCUCAAAUCUUUACAAUCAUGGUUCACCUUGUCGUUCAUCUUGUUAGAGAAGUAAAGCUUUGUGGACAUGUAUAUUUACGGUGGAUGUACACAUUUGAACGAUGCAUGAAAGUGUUGAAAAGUUAUGUUCGCAAUAGAACUCGACCGGAAGGAUGCAUUGCAGAAGCAAGCAUAUGUGAGAAGGCAGUUGAAUUCUGUUCAGAUUUUCUUUCUGGAUUAUAUCCUAUUGGACUUGGGUCACUCAAUUCAAGGGCAGACAUGCAAAGCGACCGACCACUGUCAACAGGAACAUACUUUCGACCCAAUGUCCAACAACUGAAGCAAGCACAUUUUCAUGUCUUACAGAACACUGGAGAAGUGCACCCAUACGUUGAGUAAGCAUUCGUAUGAUUAUAUACUGCCAUUAAUUUACCCUCAAGUGACCAUUUUAAUCUAUGAAAUAUUUUGUAGACGACAUUUCAAUCAAUUAAAGAUGGAAAAUCGCAGAAGAGCCAAAAAAGAAGAAUGACUACAAGGUAUAAGCUCUGGCACAACUGUAGAAUGAUUCCUCAAUAUGAAGCAACUUAUGGUUCUUUUUUCAAGUUCUUAUAGAGAUGAAAUGCACAUAAUCCAUACUCAACUAAUUCAUACACAACAUUAAACUCAUUUUCUAUACUCUUGUGAGCAUCAGACACAAUUACCAUUUCUUUAUUUUCCCCAAAAACAAAUUUAAGAUUGUGAAAAAACCAUGUUCAUGGCAAGUCAUUCUCUGAAUCAACCACAACAAAAACUAGUGACACAAUUUAAGAAUUUUCAUCAAUAGUGCAAGCAGA
This is a long non-coding RNA of Cucumis sativus (cucumber), 3436 nucleotides long. RefSeq lists it as uncharacterized. The transcript is spliced from 4 exons. The record is from RefSeq and is a predicted model, not a curated record. NCBI's taxonomy places the organism in Eukaryota, Viridiplantae, Streptophyta, Magnoliopsida, Cucurbitales, Cucurbitaceae.